Molecule: ribosomal RNA, 328 nt
Filed under: uncultured Megasphaera sp.
Lineage: Bacteria; Bacillati; Bacillota; Negativicutes; Veillonellales; Veillonellaceae
Description: bacterial SSU rRNA
Rfam family: Bacterial small subunit ribosomal RNA
Source: RNAcentral
AAAGCUAUCGCCGAAGGAGGGGUUUUGCGUCUGAUUAGCUGGUUGGAGGGGUAACGGCCCAACAAGGCGAUGAUCAGUAGCCGGUCUGAGAGGAUGAACGGCCACAUUGGGACUGAGACACGGCCCAGACUCCUACGGGAGGCAGCAGUGGGGAAUCUUCCGCAAUGGACGAAAGUCUGACGGAGCAACGCCGCGUGAGUGAAGAAGGUCUUCGGAUUGUAAAGCUCUGUUAUACGGGACGAAAAAGACGGAUGCCAACAGUAUCCGUUCCGUGACGGUACCGUAAGAGAAAGCCACGGCUAACUACGUGCCAGCAGCCGCGGUAAAU